This 249-nucleotide ribosomal RNA is filed under the name uncultured Actinomycetales bacterium. RNAcentral's name for it is "partial 16S ribosomal RNA". It matches the Rfam family "Bacterial small subunit ribosomal RNA", at positions 796 to 1041 of the family's 1533-position model. The record is from RNAcentral. Lineage: Bacteria; Bacillati; Actinomycetota; Actinomycetes; Actinomycetales.
CACGCCGUAAACGGUGGGCGCUAGGUGUGGGGAACAUUUCCACGUUCUCCGUGCCGUAGCUAACGCAUUAAGCGCCCCGCCUGGGGAGUACGGCCGCAAGGCUAAAACUCAAAGGAAUUGACGGGGGCCCGCACAAGCGGCGGAGCAUGCGGCUUAAUUCGAUGCAACGCGAAGAACCUUACCUGGGCUUGACAUGGAGAGUAAUCCGGCAGAGAUGUCGGGUCAUUUAGUUGGCUCUCACACAGGUGG